AUUGAACGCUGGCGGCAGGCCUAACACAUGCAAGUCGAACGAGUGGCGGACGGGUGAGUAAUGUCUGGGAACCUGCCUAGUGGCGGGGGAUAACUACUGGAAACGGUAGCUAAUACCGCAUACCAUCAGAUGGGCCCAGAUGGGAUUAGCUAGUUGGUGGGGUAACGGCUCACCAAGGCGACGAUCCCUAGCUGGUCUGAGAGGAUGACCAGCCACACUGGGACUGAGACACGGUCCAGACUCCUACGGGAGGCAGCAGUGGGGAAUAUUGGACAAUGGGCGCAAGCCUGAUGCAGCCAUGCCGCGUGUAUGAAGAAGGCCUUCGGGUUGUAAAGUACUUUCAGCGGGGAGGCGGUACCCGCAGAAGAAGCACCGGCUAACUCCGUGCCAGCAGCCGCGGUAAUUC
RNAcentral lists this ribosomal RNA (406 nucleotides) under uncultured bacterium. Its description in RNAcentral is "partial 16S ribosomal RNA". It matches the Rfam family "Bacterial small subunit ribosomal RNA", at positions 30 to 526 of the family's 1533-position model. The record is from RNAcentral.